AGCAACCCAUGAAGGAGGUGUUACUAUGAGUGGAGGAUUUGGUGGCGGCUUUGCGUUAAUUGUUGUGUUGUUUAUCUUAUUAGUAAUUGUUGGUGCAUCAUGGUUUUAAGUCUAAGAAGACAUAGACGGCGUUAAGGCAAUUUGUCUUAUGCAUUGCUGAAAGGAGGAAAAAAUAUGUCCGGUGGACCAGGCUAUUACGGCGGAGGAUUUGCACUUAUAGUAGUCCUCUUUAUCCUUUUAAUCAUUAUCGGAGCA
This 255-nucleotide small RNA is filed under the name Bacillus methanolicus MGA3. RNAcentral's name for it is "non-coding RNA with unknown function". Lineage: Bacteria; Bacillati; Bacillota; Bacilli; Caryophanales; Bacillaceae. The record is from RNAcentral.